UGAACCAAACAACACAGCAAUGUACUUACAAAAACCAGGAGAAAACAGAGCUAAAGGCUAAGCAGGCUAGGACAACCCAGAAGCUAGUGGGGAAACAAAACUGGCAGACUGAAGACUGGGGAGCAUCCAAAAACAGACAGGAGUUGAACAGAGUCCACAAGAGAAAAAUCCAGGACAGCAAAAUCAGUUGAGUCCAAGAGGCUGAAGCUGACAAGCAGUAGAAGGCUUGGUGGGGAAACCCACAAUCCAGGAACACAGCAGAAGCUAUGGAGGGAUGUGAGCCGAUGAUCCGGCGAGGAGUGAAUGGAAGCACAGAGCUUAAAUACUGGAGGCUCAGAUUCCCACAAAGACUCACAUGGCUUCACACGCUCUGCUCCCUCAUGGACUCUGCUUCCCCACUUCUGGACUCCUUUUUCCUCGACCCUUUUUCUCCUCUUGUGAGUAUCCCUCUUUAGUUUACUUUUGUUAAUCCAGUUUAGUAUUGGUUGACUUCCGUUUCUGUAUUCGUAGUGUUUGCUGGGUUUUGAAUAGUUAGGUUUAGUUUUGUUUCCACAGUUCAGCUCUCCAUUUAUGUAUUAGUUUAGUUAUCUUUUUAAAUGAAACUCUUUCCAUUAUUCCAUUAUUCUGCAAGUCUCUCUGUGUCUGUGCCUGCGUUGUCCAACUCAGGGCCCAAACCGUCCCUUAAAUGACCCUGGGUCCGUUCCACGAAGCAGGUUCAACAAACUCUGUGUAACCCUGAACUCUGAGUUGAUCUACUCUGAGAUAGAAAACUCUGAGUUUUCGGUUUAACAACGGCUGAUUUGAGUUGGUUUAAUCAACUCGGAGUAGUUUCACCCAGAGUGCACCGCAACUAUAAAAAGACAGCAUCAAUGGAACCCCGAUUCGACGACUCACCGUGGUGACGGGGGAGCGGAGAGCUACGUUUUUUACACCACUUGAAGUGGACAUCUUAAUGCGUUCAUAUGGCGACUUCGAACACGUUUUUAGAAAGAAGUGCAGCACCUGCAGCUGCAAAAGAGGGAGACGGCGUGGGAGAACAUUGCUGCCCGGGUCAUUGCGCAAGUUUAAAUCACAAUAAUAUUAUAGGAAAACUGUUUAAUAGCAGCCUAUUCUGUUAUUUCAUUUAGGUGCAAUCCUGCGGGGGAGAAGCGCAUGUGGCAGGAGCUGAAGAUGAAAUAUAAAAACAUUGUUCAAACAGCCAACAGAAAGAAAGGAGAUGCCUGUGAAAAGGGAGGAGGCCCAGCAGCACCACCUCUAACGGAGGCAGAGGAGCUGGUCCUAAGCCAGAAUUUGGGAAGGCCAGUGGCUGAGGGAAUCCCUGGAGGGAGCUCAUCCUCUGAGACCACAUCCCAAGACACAAGUGCGUGUGUGCGUUCAUGCGCUCAUGCGCCCACUGAACAUUUGCCAUAAGGAAGCACAGAGCACUGCAUUGUUUCUGCGUACGAGCGAGUGUGUGUGCAGCCACAGCGAUGGCAUGCGUGAAGGGGUGUGCUUUAAAGACGGCAAGAGGAAAAGGGGCCACAGAAAAUUGGACCUUCCAAGCAUACUUGUGGAGAUGCAGGCUGAGAAGGAGCGGAACUGUGCCCAACAUGAUGAGAACAUCUGGUUGCUCCUCAGCGAGGCAAGAGAGAAUGAAGCGGCCUUGCAGCGGGAGGAGAUGGUCCAGAAUGCUGCCUUCAACCAGUCAUUCCUGGGUGUGCUGGGGCAGCUGGUGCAGGUAGUGGGCAGCCAGAGUCCACUUCCCAGAGACUUGAGAUUUAGUUGUAUAUAGUUUUACUUUUAGCCCUCCACUGUAGCACAGGCCCACCACAGUUUGUACUUUGCACAUUGUAAAUAGUUUGGAUUUUGCUGCUGACUAAUAAACUAUUUUGUGACUUAUGUGAUUGCAUCAUAACUUUUCAUUUUGUCUGUUAAGACACUGGUAGGAAAAGAGUCAACAGUCUGAACCAAACGAUUCUGUAUUCCCUAAUAAUGCAUUUAUGUUUAAUGGGAUUUAACAUGUUUUAACACAAACUACUUUAUGGCUCAUAAUUCUGUUGACUGAAUUACACCAAAGCAAUACUGAUUUAUCAAACUGGAAUAUUCUUAAAACAGCAGUUUUAAUGUUUUGGUGUUUGUCAUGUAAUCUUG
Long non-coding RNA from Amphiprion ocellaris (clown anemonefish), 2130 nucleotides. The record is from Ensembl. Lineage: Eukaryota; Metazoa; Chordata; Actinopteri; Pomacentridae.